AACGAACGCUGGCGGCAGGCUUAACACAUGCAAGUCGAACGCCCCGCAAGGGGAGUGGCAGACGGGUGAGUAACGCGUGGGAACGUACCUUUCGCUUCGGAAUAUUCCCGGGAAACUGGGAGCAAUGCCGAAUACGCCGUAUUGGGAAAGAUUUAUCGGCGAAAGAUCGGCCCGCGUUUGAUUAGGUAGUUGGCGGUGUAAUGGACCACCAAGCCUACGAUCUAUAGCUGGUCUGAGAGGAUGAUCAGCCACACUGGGACUGAGACACGGCCCAGACUCCUACGGGAGGCAGCAGUGGGGAAUCUUGGACAAUGGGCGCAAGCCUGAUCCAGCCAUGCCGCGUGAGUGAAGAAGGCCUUAGGGUUGUAAAACUCUUUCGCCGGUGAAGAUAAUGACGGUAACCGGAGAAGAAGCCCCGGCUAACUUCGUGCCAGCCGCCGCGGUAA
Molecule: ribosomal RNA, 446 nt
Filed under: uncultured bacterium
Lineage: Bacteria
Description: partial 16S ribosomal RNA
Rfam family: Bacterial small subunit ribosomal RNA
Source: RNAcentral